AGCAGCCGCGGUAAUUCCAGCUCCAAUAGCGUAUAUUAAAGUUGCUGCAGUUAAAAAGCUCGUAGUUGAAUUUCGGGACCAUCAUGUCGGUCGUGCCUCGGUACGUACUGGUAUUGUUGGUUUCUCCCUUCUGACGAACCAUGAUGUCAUUUAUUUGGUGUUGUGGGGAAUCAGGACUGUUACUUUGAAAAAAUUAGAGUGUUUAAAGCAGGCUCACGCUUGAAUACAUUAGCAUGGAAUAAUGAAAUAGGACGUUUGAUUCUAUUUUGUUGGUUUCUAGGAUCGACGUAAUGAUUAAUAGGGAUAGUUGGGGGCAUUAGUAUUCAAUUGUCAGAGGUGGAAUUCUUGGAUUUAUUGAAGACUAACUACUGCGAAAGCAUUUGCCAAGGAUGUUUUCAUUAAUCAAGAACGAAAGUUAGGGGAUCGAAGACGAUCAGAUACCGUCGUAGUCUUAACCAUAAACUAUGCCGACUAGGGAUCGGAUGAUGUAAUUUUUAAUGACUCAUUCGGCGCCUUACGG
RNAcentral lists this ribosomal RNA (520 nucleotides) under uncultured Glomus. RNAcentral describes it as "SSU rRNA". It matches the Rfam family "Eukaryotic small subunit ribosomal RNA", at positions 569 to 1093 of the family's 1831-position model. The record is from RNAcentral. Lineage: Eukaryota; Fungi; Glomeromycota; Glomeromycetes; Glomerales; Glomeraceae.